RNAcentral lists this non-coding RNA (30 nucleotides) under Mus musculus (house mouse). The record is from RNAcentral. Lineage: Eukaryota; Metazoa; Chordata; Mammalia; Rodentia; Muridae.
UCUCAUGGGCCUCCUCGAGAAUUAACUAGA